Molecule: ribosomal RNA, 490 nt
Filed under: uncultured bacterium
Lineage: Bacteria
Description: partial 16S ribosomal RNA
Rfam family: Bacterial small subunit ribosomal RNA
Source: RNAcentral
AGUGAACGCUGGCGGUAGGCCUAACACAUGCAAGUCGAACAGCAGCACAGGAGAGCUUGCUCUCUGGGUGGCGAGUGGCGGACGGGUGAGGAAUACAUCGGAAUCUGCCCAGUCGUGGGGGAUAACGUAGGGAAACUUACGCUAAUACCGCAUACGACCUUCGGGUGAAAGAGGGGGAUCGCAAGACCUCUCGCGAUUGGAUGAGCCGAUGUCGGAUUAGCUAGUUGGCGGGGUAAUGGCCCACCAAGGCGACGAUCCGUAGCUGGUCUGAGAGGAUGAUCAGCCACACUGGAACUGAGACACGGUCCAGACUCCUACGGGAGGCAGCAGUGGGGAAUAUUGGACAAUGGGCGCAAGCCUGAUCCAGCCAUACCGCGUGGGUGAAGAAGGCCUUCGGGUUGUAAAGCCCUUUUGUUGGGAAAGAAAUCUUUCAGGCUAAUACCCUGGGAGGAUGACGGUACCCAAAGAAUAAGCACCGGCUAACUUCGUG